UACGGAGGAUCCAAGCGUUAUCCGGAUUCAUUGGGUUUAAAGGGUGCGUAGGCGGAAUAAUAAGUCAGUGGUGAAAGCCCUCAGCUUAACUGAGGAACUGCCAUUGAUACUGUUAAUCUUGAGUACAUUUGAUGUGGGCGGAAUGUGCCAUGUAGCGGUGAAAUGCUUAGAUAUGACACAGAACACCGAUUGCGAAGGCAGCUCACAAAACUGUAACUGACGCUGAGGCACGAAAGCGUGGGUAUCAAACAGG
RNAcentral lists this ribosomal RNA (253 nucleotides) under uncultured bacterium. RNAcentral describes it as "partial 16S ribosomal RNA". It matches the Rfam family "Bacterial small subunit ribosomal RNA", at positions 524 to 776 of the family's 1533-position model. The record is from RNAcentral.